CCAACAACACCCCCAGCAAAUACUAAAGACAGCUCAGUUUUAGGCAAGAGAAAGAGAUCAGAUGGUUCUGUUGGAGUUGCUGUGGACAUUGAUUUUCCAUCAAGCAAAAAAAGGAUUCAGGUCAAAUCACCAUGGUCAAGUUUGAAUGUGAGAAGGAUACUCAACAAAAGUUAUAAUUCUCUGUCAUCAUCAAUUGCUACAUCAGAUCGGACACAAAAUAAAACUAUAGACCCUAUAGGGCGCUAACUUCUAGAA
Molecule: long non-coding RNA, 255 nt
Organism: Amphimedon queenslandica
Lineage: Eukaryota; Metazoa; Porifera; Demospongiae; Haplosclerida; Niphatidae
Exons: 2
Source: RefSeq, a predicted model, not a curated record